Molecule: long non-coding RNA, 33648 nt
Filed under: Brachypodium distachyon (stiff brome)
Lineage: Eukaryota; Viridiplantae; Streptophyta; Magnoliopsida; Poales; Poaceae
Description: long non-coding RNA (BDIS_LNC003189)
Source: RNAcentral
GGCCGCUCGCUGGCGGAAGGACCUCUUUUUUUUUCUAGGUUUUUUCAGUGUCUUCUUUAAGAUGGUGAAACGGCAGUAGCAUCUUGCAGUCGGAAUAAGGUAUUCCCUGCUUGUCCUCAUUGUGGCGGUGCGCCUAGCGCUGGCGGAGGGUGCGUGGAGCUGUGUUUCCGGUGCAUCCCUUGGGAUCCGGCCACCACUAGGUGGUCUAAAGACCUAUUUUUUUUUAUUACUUUUAUGGCUCUUUAUUGAUGUUGAUGAUCAUUAAUAGAUCGUUGAUCCUUUCGCAAAAUAAAUAAAUAGCAAUAGCCAUGAAACAAAUCGAAAUCUACGUCGAAUAUGUACAUAUGAACUAACUCCCAAACAAAUCUUCCAGAACCCUUGGCGCAUGUCGCCGCCGGGGACGUUGGUGGCUUGGACAAGAAGGCCCGUACUUGAAGGGCUCCUCCUCGCCGCUGCCUUCCCAGGCGUCGUCCUCCUUGAAGUUGCAUAAUAUCAAGAAUAUGCUUGCAUAUUGCUCUUUCCUUCCAAGAGGUCAUAGUAAUGCUAGCCAGAGGAUUACGAAAAACUAGUGGCUCGUAUUAAUUUGUAAGGGUCUUCAAAAAAACAUUUUUCAAUUUUUUAGGGGUUUGAAUGCACAUUUCACCUUUCUCAUUAAACUUGAUUGAACACUUGAUGCAGAUAUUAAUUCACUAAUUCACUUUUAUUAAUCGUUAAAACACAAAUGUAGGAUCAACAUACAUUUUCAAAUGAAUACAAAUACAUGUGAUUUAUUACGAGAAGACUUUUGCUCCAGUGGCAUAUCUAUGUUGGGGCGAUACGAUUGCCAAAGUUUUAGUUUAGUUUGUUUAAGUAACUAGGGCCUAAUUUUGCCGCAAAGCUAGGAUUACCUAGAAGGCGGCGUAUCCGGUGAAAACCCCGUUUGGUGCACACUCCAUAAAACCAUGUAUAAUGUUUUCCAAAAAUUCCUAUAAAAAUGUCAUAUGUUGGAGGUGUGGUGCUCUACAAACGUGCAAAAUUUCAAAUUGAAAAUCAAAUCCAUUUGAAAAAAAUUAAAAAGAGAAAUAUACAAAUGAAUAGUGUCAAAACGGAUGACCCACUAUUCAUGCUAAAUUUGUUUUUUUCGCUGCUACCAAAAAAAUUCUAAAGCUCAUUAGGACUAUAUAAACUCAUUUCUUUUAUUCAUCUUCAACUCAACACCAUAAACUGGAAAUUCAUCGAAACUAUAUAAGCUCCAUCCAAGUUGAUGUUGGAGAUCCUUUCUUUUAUCGUGCGAUACUCUGUAAUAUAAGAGAAACAUCUCUUGGUGAGAUGAUAGAGCUGUGGGUGCAUGAUUUCACCCAUCAAUGUUUAAAUAUUGUGUUCACAAUUAUUUUGUAAAGGUUUUUCUUGCAAUCUUUCCAUAAAAAAAGAUAAUCUGGAAUAUAAAAGAGAAAAUUAUACCGUUUGAAAAAUGACCAAAGCCAUUUCCAAGUCAAUGCAAAUGAUCAAUUUUUAAAUAAAUUAGUGCACGGUAUCGGGAAUAUGCUUGUAUCUUGCUCGACUAUUCUUUGCAUUUUGUGUGAGGCUCACGCCAAAACAAGAAAAGAAACAUCGUUUGAAUUCCAAUAUCCAGUGUCUUAAGAUUUAUUUUUUAUAAAUGAAUAGUAACCCUUCUCUACAGCUCGCACAAGGUCGCCAUCACCAACCAAACGAAAAUCUCAAGAUAAAUAAAUGAAUGAAAGAUCAAACAUACAGUACGUACCCAACAGCUACAGUAUGAGUCAUGGGUCAAAAAUAAAUAAAAUCGAAAUCUACUCCGUAUUGUCCAAUUAUGUACUGUACAAAUGAACUGACUCCGAAGAGAAAUCAAGAGCCCCGGCCGAGUGCCGCCGCCGCAUCUCGCAGCGGCAUCGGCGACGGGGACGCCGGCAGCCGGGACGAGAAGGCCCGGUACUUGAAGGGCUCCUCCUCCUCGCCGUCCUCCUCGAAGUUGAGCGCGUAGCUGAUGGGGUCGUACCGGAACUCCCCCGCCAGCUGCUGCUUCCUCCGCGGCCGCCUGACGCGCGCCACGAGCUCCGGCAGCUCCCCCGCGCGGUCCCGCAUCCACCGCGACGACGCCCGCAGCGCCCUGGAAGCCCUCUCGCCCGCGCCGCCUUCCCCCGCUUCCCCGCCGCCGAAGCAGCACGAGAAGCAGCCGCCACGGCGCUCGUUGUACUCCAUCGCCAUGUAUCACCAACUCUUGACAAGUGGAUAUUGAUUGCUGGCAGUCAAGAUAGUUAAGUCGAGUUUGGAUUUGGGUGCUUGAUGAGAAGAAGGAUUUUGUUUUAUAGGUCUUCGUUGGUUGGUUGGUGCGAGGUGGAUAAGGUCGGACUCGGAGAGGCAGAGGCCUGGAGGGAAGAAGGUUCGGGUUCGGGGGCUAAUAAACCGUGGGCGGGAGGGCAAUGUGGUCAUUUUCCGAGGUUUCGGGGGGCCAGUGAUGACGGGGAGGGCCGAUCCGGACUCCGGAGGACGCGCUGGGGACGCGGGCGCGGGAGUUUCUCCGCGUAGGCAAGAUGAAAAGCGUCCGCGUUUAGUUGGACUACUCUGAGUAUUGACCGCGAUUUACGGUCAGGCUCUACUGUGGCAGUUUAAAAGUCCAUUCACUUUGUAUCGAAGAAAUAUCGUACGGUCACGUUGAACGUGAAGCAUUUCAGUUCUGCACGAGCCUCGACCCAUGUCAUGUUUGUUCCUGCACAGGAAACGAGCCAGCAUUUUUUUUCACCCGGAUAGAAGGCAGAACGACAUGGGACGUUUUCUGCUUUCAAAAGCAGCACCUCCAGCGGAAUACGGCCAGCGAGAUGUCUUCAAUCGGUAGGAAAAUUGAUGGCAGUGACGACUGGCAUUUCAGUCACUUGUUAUACUGUUUUGUGGUAAGUUUUUUUUUUUUUUUUUUUUGUAAUGAUGGAGGCAAACUGCAUUGUUGUCCGGCGUCAGCCGAUGCUUUUAGUUUACCAAUAAUAUUUGGUGUGGUGCACGUCCACUGAUCUAAAGGCCUUUCCCUUAUUCAAAAAAAUAAAUGCUACUCCCUCCGCCACAUAAUUAUUGGCGUUGUUUUAAUUUUAAAUUUGUACUAAAAUCACGACACGAAUUAUGAGACGGAGAGAGUAAGUGUGAAGUCCUUUUCCAAUAGAGUCUCUUAACGCGUUAUCUUAAACAUUUUGCUGAGAUGUCACGCUAAUUAAGGAAGAAAAAAAUGUGUGCCAUCUCUCGUUGCAGAUACAGCUCUUGCACGUAGAGAUAGUCAAAAAAAAAACUAAUAGUCCAACCACGUACAGUCAUGACUCCUAAAUCAAUUAAGAGUAUCAAUUAAUGCAACCCUUGUUACUUCCUCCAUUCCACAAUACAACGUGUAUAGAUUUUUCUCAUUUGUUCCACAAUACACCUCAUUUUUCUCUUGUUACCUGCAUCCGGCCAAUAACUAUUCACAUCCAUUUAUUAUUAACCCAAUAUGAAUGGUCAAGCACUAGAAACGAGAACUGCCUUGAUUCAGAUACACAAAUCUAUAUGAGGUGUAUUUUGGAAUAAAGGGAGUAGAUUAUUGAUAUGGACAUGCUAACCAUGAAUACGACCAUUAGAACCCUAAUUGUUGGUGUCUCUAAUAAUUAUAAUCAGGUGAAUUCAAUUACAAAAUGUUUUCAAUAUGUUACUUGCAAAGAGGCGGAGCUACUAUCUUGUGUAAUCUUAUUAUGUAGGCAUCUUAUUGAACUUUACAAGUCCAAAGUGAAGAUGAAGUGUUAUAACCUGCAAAGGGAGAUUCAAAAUGAAGCCUAUCAAGUCUACUUUCCAACAAAUCAAACGGCACAUGAUUCGGAGACCUUUCCAACGGAUCUAGCCCCAUCAAGAGAUUCGACUCGUGCUGACCGUGGCGGACAAAACAAGCUGACGGAUCUGUUUUUCUGUUUCCUAAAGAGUUGUAGUUUGUUAGGAAAGUUAGAGAUAGAGUUGGAUUUCGGACUCCUUAUUCAAGGUGGACGAAAAUAUCUCUCUCUCCUCCUUUAUAUACCCCAUGAGCCCCCCUAAGGAGCCUUGGGUUUUGUUUAGUUAAAAGUUAGCCAUCGCUACUACUUCGUGUAAUCGCGUGUGUCGGUUAGACCACCUGUUUUACCGCUUUCGGAACCCCAACUUAUCGUCUCGUUGAGACAUUGGUUUGAUAUAGUAUAUUCGCAAUUUUAGAUUGCAUCCGCUAUUUAUCUUGUUCUUGCUUGUUCUUCGAUUGCUUGCAGGAACAAAGACCUUCGUGGUCAGGUUGAUCGUGCCCCGCGUGAUCAAUAACCCUCUGGAGUUGGUGUAUCGAUUGCUAAGGCGCUGCCUGCUAGGCCGUAGUCGGAUCGUCAACGUCACCUCCUACCCAAAUCGAGAGUUAUCAAUCUCAUCGAAAGAUCGGGCCACCCGCACCCGUAUCACGUGGUAUCAGAGCUUAAGGUUGCUCGGUGAGAUUUUUCCAGUUUGUUUGGAGGUGACGUUGACGAUCCGACUACGGCCUAGCAGGCAGCGCCUUAGCAAUCGAUACACCAACUACAGAGGGUUAUUGAUCACACGCGGCACGAUCAACCUGACCACGAAGGUCUUUGUUCCUGCAAGCAAUCGAAGAACAAGCAAGAACAAGAUAAAUAGCGGAUGCAAUCUAAAAUUGCGAAUAUACUAUAUCAAACCAAUGUCUCAACGAGACGAUAAGUUGGGGUUCCGAAAGCGGUAAAACAGGUGGUCUAACCGACACACGCGAUUACACGAAGUAGUAGCGAUGGCUAACUUUUAACUAAACAAAACCCAAGGCUCCUUAGGGGGGCUCAUGGGGUAUAAAGGAGGAGAGAGAGAUAUUUUCGUCCACCUUGAAUAAGGAGUCCGAAAUCCAACUCUAUCUCUAACUUUCCUAACAAACUACAACUCUUUAGGAAACAGAAAAACAGAUCCGUCAGCUUGUUUUGUCCGCCACGGUCAGCACGAGUCGAAUCUCUUGAUGGGGCUAGAUCCGUUGGAAAGGUCUUGUAAUUACCUUUCCAACAAGUACUUGUUUGCUUGAUUUGGACUCCGGAUGCGGCCUGGGUGAUUAAAACAAAUUCGGGUCUCUUGACAACUCGGACCCGAAUCGGAUUCAACUUUAAUUCGUGAUAUCUUUCUCUAGCAAGCUCCGAAUCAUGUGCCGUUUGAUUUGUUGGAAAGUAGACUUGAUAGGCUUCACUUUGAAUCUCCCUUUGCAGGUUAUAACACUUCAUCUUCACUUUGGACUUGUAAAGUUCAAUAAGAUGCCUACAUAAUAAGAUUACACAAGAUAGUAGCUCCGCCUCUUUGCAAGUAACAUAUUGAAAACAUUUUGUAAUUGAAUUCACCUGAUUAUAAUUAUUAGAGACACCAACAAUUAGGGUUCUAAUGGUCGUAUCCAUGGUUAGCAUGUCCAUAUCAAUUAUACUCUCUCCUUUUCACAAAGAAUGCAUGACACGCACACAUUUCAAAAUUUUAAUUUGAUCAACAAUUAGACUAAUGAUUUGAGAGUUACGUGCUACAAAAAUUAUAUCAUUUGAUUCGUAUUUAAAAAAUGUUUGUAUAAAAUUUAUGACAUAUAAUUUACAUAUUAUUGGUCUAAUCGUUGGUUAAAAUUUGACCUCGAAAUACAUGGACAGCAUUCUUUAUGAAAAUGAAAAGGAGGGAGUAAGAGCUAAGAGAUCAUGCAUUGUGACGAUGUCAUUAUAUAAACUAUCACCUAAGAUAACGUGUGAAGAGACGUUGCAUUUUGAGUGGCUAAUUAAAUCGGUUUAGUCCCAACCACCUCAAGUCGUCAGUACAAUUUUUUUUUAACUUGACCGCUCAGCCGCUCAGGCACCAACGAAGGAAAAUGUAUUAGCAGGAGCCUCCCGGUUUCCACUGGUUCAACUUUACACGUUUUUGCAGCUCAAAGAAAAAACUUUACACGUUUUUGAACAGCCCUAAAUUACAUGUGAUGUGAACGUUGCUGAUAGCUUAGCACCCGAGUAAGGUUACGUGCUGAACUUUCCACUAUAUGCAGGGAUCCUCUCACCGUUUAUUACCUCACAACAAAUAUUGAUACCGCAUUUUCUUUACAAUUAGCUGAAACAUCCAUGAAAGAAUACUGACUACCUAGUCUGAACCAUUGGCUUAUAUUCUAAUGCGACACUAACAAAAACAACUCUUACCCAAGCACUAGCCAAAACUGACAUAGCAUGAAAUUGCAAGAAUAACCAAAAGGGCUCGAUAAUAGUUAAAAUGUUUUUUUACCAGUCCAAAGCCUCAAUCCAUUAAAGAGAAUUGACUGGUUAAUUUGCGGAAGAGAAUAGCAAGGAUACUUACACCUUGAAUAAAAUUGAUUUCUACAUACUGGAGAUGCAUACAAGAUGCAUCUAUAUAUAUGCUCUCGAAAGUAAAAGAUUACAAGAACUGCAGCGGAAAAAGGAAGCACAGGUGCCUCGCCUAAUGUCCUAGAUGCUCAACUAUACACUGCCAACUAAAUUCACUUCUCUUCGAUAUGGUUACGACUCUCGAUAUCAUGAUUAAUCCUCCGGUGCUGCAAGAACUGGACGACUUCUCAACUCACCUACUGCAAAGCAGCAGCAUCGAACAAUAGCAAAGCCGAUCUGAAUCAGUCACUCGUUCUGCAAAAAAUGGUAAACGCAAAUGAAAUUAUUUGUCCACAUAUAUCAGUAUCACACAAUGCAAACACACACACACACACAAAGAUUAAACUAAUUGAAAGAAAAAUCUGUUAUGGACCUUGGUCCCGGCGAGGGCUCAUCUCUGACGUGCGAGAGAGGCUUUGAGGCUAAUGGAACUUUUGAUUAUUGAUUCAUUGCCCGAUUUAACUGUUACACGCUAGUCCUUUAUAUAGGACAGCUAACUUGAUCCACAAGUCGGAUCAUAAUUCAAACUCAAGUUUGAGCCAUAUCUCUACCUUCCUAGUUUUAUUGAACUCUGGACUCUUUCUAAAGACCUAAAUGUAUCACAUGAGGACACAUUCUGCUUGAUUUAUCCUUUUCCUAACCUUACUAUAUCUAAUAUUCUAUUGUCCAAUACCUUAACGCAUAUGCACAUCUCCUGCUGCCUUGUGCACCCACGACUAAUAACAAAAUCAUAGCACUAUGCCACAAUGAUAUAAUAAUCCAAUUUCAUUCUGUGGACCUAACUCAAAGCAGUUCGUCAUCACAAUGAACAAUACUGAUAUGUACUCCCCUCCGUCCGCAAAUAAGUGACUUGGAUUUGCAUUAAGAUCUUAUACAAAUCCAAGUCACUUAUUUCCGGACGGAGGGAGCAUUAGCCAUUAGGGAUGCAAGGGAUCCCACACGUCCUGCUUCUAGGUCAACCUUCAAAUCUUAAGUCAAAUUUUGAGUAAUUUUUUUGAAAUAGUAAGUCUCUAUUGGCCUAGAAACGGGACAUGUGUGGGUAUCCCUAAUAUAUACACACACCCUUUUGUAAGAUACCCUCAGGAGAACUGCAGGUAAACCUAUUGUUUGGCAUUAGCUUGUUACUUGACCAGAAUCAACAUACUUCAACUCCAACUAAGCCAAAAGAAUCAUCCCAUAAAUAGACCAAACAAACACAUUAAAUUAAAAAAAAAAUCCAAGAAUGCAAGUCAUGUACCUUUGCCUUUUAGAAUUGGGGCCAUCAACUGGGUCGCGGUUAUGAUCAUGUGAAUUCCUCCUAGAAUCACUUGGCUCAUCCCUUGCACUGUUUGAGCUCCCAGACGCAACCUGCAUCCAGUACUGAUGUUAAUAGUCCAUCAAGAGUGUAUUAAGGACUCAUAGCAGUAGUAAUUAUCCUUGCCUGUGAAGGAAUACUGCUACCAUCUCCUGGGGUGCUUUGAGGCUGGUUUUCGACUUGGGAGAUAAAUGGCAUGAUUUGUUGGAGAAAAUUAGCAAAGCGUAUCCCCUCAUUGCUAACCCCUGGCACUUCAGGUGCUCCACGGUUUGUAACAUCUACCUGCUCAGCAGAAGACAUUGGGACAUGCUGACUCGUGACAUUUGCGCGGGAAUUUCCUACAGAAGAUGCUGAUCCAAUCCACUGGAAAUUGUCCAUCAAAUGAGAUAAUAAAGGAGACUGGCCAUUCUGCUGCCCAGGGGAGGCCUGAGAGCUGUUGCUCACAUUGACAUCGACAGGAAAUACUGGAUUACCUAAAACAAAAUCAAUUGAUUAUAAAAAUUGUAUAAGAGAACGAAGCCUUUUCUUUUGGAAGUCCAAAAGAUCAACAUUUGGACCAGAAUACCAUACACCAAAAAAGUGAAGAAUCAUCAAAGAAUGGCAUGCAGCAUUCGUUGAGGCAACUGUCUGAACAAAAAGGUUGCGCAAACUCAGUAGAAACUUUGGGUGCAAUCAGAUUUGGUCACAAGAUGUCUUUACCAUAUCCUAACCAACAUUGUUCUCAAAAUAAGAUAAAGAAAUAUGGUUACCUCAGUUUAUUGUUAGAAGGAAAAAAAAAGGGUCAUCAGAUAUAUGAACACAGUUAGAACUUAGAAUUCAGGAAGGAAAGUGAACAUAAAAUCAUUAAAAAAGAAGAAGAGCAACUUGUUGGCCUAGAACAAGUGCAUAACGAAAAGGCUAACCAGCACACUCAUGAUGUCAAAACAAUGCCAAGGACAUGGAAAUAUGGACUUUGCAAUGCCACCUGAUUUACUUCACUCCUCGUCACAGAUGCGCCAGACCAAGCUAGUUGCAAGGUAAUAUGAAAACUGACCCCUUGGCAGUGUGCUUCCACUCUUCUCCAUCAUCAGUGGAAAGGCUCGGCAAGGACAACGACGAGCAGCAAUAACAGUCAAGGCAUAGCACCAACAGGCAGCUGAGUUUGCCUCUUGAGUAUCAUUUCCCCCCUUCAGUAUAUGAUUCCUAAUUUUCCUAGAUAUUCAACUUCCUAAUUUAAUUUUAUUCGAAUGAAUGGAUAUAUCAGACAAAAAUCCAAGUUGCAGCCAGCCAAAACUGUUCAAAUCUGAUUAGGUAUCAGGAACACUUCAUCAAACAGGGUGACAGGGUUGCAUGAGUCAUGAGCUACCCGACCCGAUUGCACCCCUAGCAGUAAGUCUCGUCUUUAGUAAACGAAUGCAAAACAAUUUAGAAGGAAGAAACAAAUACAGAUGAAGUGAGGAAGCUCAUUCACCUGUUUCGUGAGCUUGAGAUGGCUGAGGAUUCGGCUGCACAGUGGCAUGGGUGUCACUACGACCAGGUUCAUUUGGAGUUUGACCAUUUCGUGCAUCACUACCACUAGUAUUUACUCUUUGUUGAAUUCUGGUGACCAUUGGAUAAAUAACACCAACUCCUCCACUAGAAGAACCUGAUGGAGGGCGCCUGAUGCCAGCAGGCACAGCGACAACUGUUCUAAGUGGUAACAGUCUAACUCCAGACCCAACAGCAAAAGGAGCACCACCUGUAACUCGCGCAGAUGCUUCUCUAACGUUUGUAUGAGAAGCAUUUCCAGUUCUAUCUGUACGUUCUUGUGCUUGCUGUGCCCCAACCGGUUCACUUGGGUUAGUACUGGCUACAGGCACAGAACCACCUAACAACCAAAAAGACUGGCAUUUAACCAUUAUCAUCAACCAAAGUAACAACAGAAGAAAAAUGAACACACCGUGCAGCUAUGUAGACAUGCCAAUUAUUUAUGUAUCCUUUUGAGGGAAAACGGAAGGGACACCCAUAUGAAAUACAAAAAUAUAUAACAAGAAGUAUUUAUAAGAGAAGCAGGCAAGGGAUUUUAUCUCCUGGUUCAAUUCUUCCGACCAGUCAUUCAUUUUUGACUGACACACCCUAACCUGGUUGUUUGGAUCUUUUCAUACGACAAAUACUACCUCAGCUCUAAAAAAUCCCUGCUCCACUCAUACCAACUGGCACAAAGUUUAGUAUAACAUCAUGAUUGUUAGAAAAGUGUAUCACAAAUUCUCCAAUCUAUUGUUGACUAACUCUGAAUUGACACACCCACCCUAGAUGUUCUGAUAGACCUAAUACGCCGUCCAAAUAAGACAUUAGACAUAAACCAUCCCUGGUCUGCUCUCACAAACUGGCGCUUACACUAAUUUGGCAAUUUCAAACCAUCUAUUUGCCAGAGAUUGUCACACACCAAGCUUUCAAUUGACUUGCACUACCAGUUCUGAUUCACUCAGUCUCCUAAGUUAGCAUUCAGGUCUACUAAAAAUACAGGACAAUCCUUGACUAUUACGACCUGCAUUUCCACUAAUAGUUCUAAUUUCAAGAUAAUAUAGCUGAACAGACUCCCAAUACAUAACACUGCUAAAUUUAGGCAUGUGGAAAGAAAUUUCAUAUGAAUAAAACGGCAAUAACCAAAUCUCAGAGUCACUGUAGGAACAUAUUAGUGUUACUCACUUGUACGGGCAUGGAUAUCAGCCUCUCUUGGGUGUAGAACGGAGCCUUGCGAACUAAGACUAGAAAAUAUCGGACCCAUUUGGACAGAUCUUGCUCCUGGAAAAAAGGGAACAGGCUGCACGGAAGCAAGUCAGCAUAUGCAUAAAACAGGAUAGAUAGGGGGCCUUAUCUAUUCAUUAAUUCUAAAUUAAAACUUUAAAAACUCACCGGAACCAUAAGAGGAUUUGGCCCAGAUGGAGAUAUAAAAACAGCUGGUCCAGAAUUUACAACCGCUUCUGACUGAGAAUAGCAAAAGGGUCAAUGCGUAAGUAUAAACUUGUUCAAAACCUCAAAUGGGGUUAAUACAGUUGACACAGAAACCUACAGGUGCAGGGUUGAUGCGAAGCAUCAUUGUUGUGCGGCCAAGUUCUAGAAGUAAUGAACCAAGGUUCUGGAGGAGAACACCGUGUCUCAUUGCGCCAUGUUGAAGGUUCCUCCGCGUUGCAGAGUCACUUACAUUCACAAGAUCGCCCAAUUGCGCAGAUAGUUGCUGGAUUGAAAUAAUAUGAUAUUAACUUAGAUAAGUGAUGUAAAAUCAUCAACUACAGCAACUUAGAUAGGAAUAGAAUGCAUGAGGAAUAAAUUGAAUCGAUGCAAUAAACAUGUGACAACUAACAACCAAUACAAAAAUCUUAUGUGGGAAUUACUCAAGUGCCCUUCAUUCAUAUUAAAGUGCCAUAUCAUAAGACAGAUCACACAACAACGAUGUGUUUGGUUUCGGGUGCGGCGGGGCGGCCACGGGCCGCGUGAGUCCGCAAAAAUUGGCGAGCACGGCGGUCCGUUUUUUCAAGCGCAAAUUCUUCAGCGGACCGCUCCGCUCAGGACACAAACCGAUCCAAACAUGAAAAAAGUCUGUGCGAGCAGACCGAAGCAGCCCCGCUCCAGGACCAAACGUAUCCUAAAUUAAUACAUUUUGAUGCCACAAGCUAAUACACUUCGAUGUUAAAUUCAGUUUUCUGGCUAAAAAGGUUAUUCAAUAUAAAUAGAAACUUUUUUUAGCUUGUCAAGGACUUUAAAAAUAAAAUCAAGUAUACCAAUAUGGCUCAUUCAAACAACUAGAAAGAAAAUAUAGCUCAUUUACUUUGGAUAAUAUCUGAGGCUCACUAUCAUUACAGGACUUACGAAACGGAAUCAAGUACACAGCAUUUUCAACUCAACGAUAUACCUUGCACUGCUUAUAAUGUAGCUGAAGUACUGGAGGGUAGAGACUAGCAUUAUCAUAUUAGCUACUUAAAUUACGAGGCUCUGGCAGAUGUGACUUACAGAUAGCAAUGGUCCAGCAAGAUCAACAAGAAGUUGUCUGGUCGAGUACAUUGUUUCAGCUAGCAAUGAUGCAGUAGGAAGUCCAUGCUGUGCAGAAGAUGAAUCAGGCUGGCUUUCCUGAUUUUGAGUACCACCAACAUGAGCACUUUGUGUGUUUCUGUGGUCAAUGUUACCUAUGGGUUGUCCUGUAGAAGAGAAAUGGAGGUAAAUCUUCAUACUAAUUACAAAAUGAAUGUAAUUCGCAAACCGAAAGCAGCUAAACCAUUUUCGUUGAAGCCUUCCCUCCUAAAUGAAUCCCUCAUGAACUCAAUGUACUGAGAAAUAGUGGUCAAGGAAUCAGGGAUAACCUGCAAAAUAUGGAAUAUAGUACCAUUAUAUCCUUGCAUUCACCAUUCACCAUACAGGGGGGGUAUGCUGAGGAUCAAAGACAAAGGUUUACAUUUGGUUCUGAUGACCCAGGUGUCGCUUCAGGGAAAAGUAGAGAAGCCUGCUGUUGGUCAAGUUCAACCCUGGCACCAUUUGGGAAUGAUGGUUGUGUAGGUUCUGAAGGUCUGGUAUCAGAAGGUGCUGGUCCACCCUAGCAUUAGAACAGUACAUUUUAAACAAGUUCUUGAAGUUUCCAUCUAAGCAAGUAAUUUAAGAAUUCUGGAUUACCGAAGCUGCGCUAAACAGGCUUUGGAGAAUCUGCCAAAAAAAUAUUCAAGAAUAUGAACAAAACCCAGCUAUGUCAAGCACAACAGUUGUUUGAACAGAAAUUGAUCAGAACAUAUCAAACAUGUAGGAUCACCUGAGCAAGGCUAGAGAAUUCACCCCCCUGAUCCAAAUUAACAGCCUCAAGUACAAUACUGCGAGCAACUGUGGGGCCAUGAUGGUGAGCAGAAUUUGCUGAAGGAGCUGUAAAAUUUUGACAGUCACAGUGAACAUAAGUUGUUAUUCCAAUAAAAAGGAAGAAACUGGUAUUCAGAAGAGAACAUUGAAGAGUAAACCCUAAGAUGCAAAACGGAACCAUAUUGCUACUAAGCCGUAAAUGUUUAUCUGGACAUGCCACAGAGCACAGAGUACAGAUUGCAACAAUUGGCAAAUUAGUCUAAAGAAGUUACAAGCAUUAGAGGACCAGCCUUUCAAAGUAACUGCAGAAGUUUAGCAGCGAAAUGAUGCUACAGCUAAUCGUCCAGCGACCAUAUCAUGACAGCAACAUGCUCGCAGUACUUGCAGAAUACGAAGUUCAUAACUAAUAGUAUAAAAAAGAACAUCAAAUGCAUAAUAGGCACACAAUACAAAGGCAAAGGUCUAAAAUAAUAGCAAAAAACACAUAUGCCACUGUAGCGACUCAAGGGAUUUGUAAUGGGUGCAGACAUUUGUGAAUUCAAGGGUAGCUUUAGGUGUUGAUGAAUCAAUGAACAUUUAAUUAUGUCUGUAGUAGACCACUAAAACGCCGAGCCGAUCAUGCCAAAAAUGACAAAGCCACAGCAUCUGCUUCACUGCACUAUUACAGAAUGGUCACUACAAAUAUCAAGACGCAAAUUCGCAAUGUUUAAAAGGACAACAACAUAAUACAACAGAUACAACAUUAUUCCCUCAAAUAACAAAGAACUUUACAAAGCAUUCAAAGACUUCAAACUAAGGAAGAGAAUCAGGACAGGAAACUAAAGUCAACAACACAUGCAAAGAUAGCCAGAUAUACCAAAGAACUAUUCCUCCUGAGUUUCUAUCAAAAUUUAAACAAUCAAAAAAAUCUUCAUAAAGACUACACAAUUAAAUGAUUCUACUAACCUUCAUUUCCAGCGUUUCCUGAUGUUGCUGGCUGGCCUGGUUGUCUAACAACAAGAUGCAACGUAUGACCAUCUUCAACAUCUAGAAACUAUUAUUAAGGAGUAACAUUUACAGGGUGAAUCUAAAUAAAACUUAAAAUACAAAACAUCUACUCCCUCCGAUCUAUUGGCAUCUAGUCCUAGGAGGGGAAAGACAAAAGGAAAGUGUUCAUGUUUAAGCCUUUGCCUAAUGGUAGAACAGCCAGAAACAAUUAAGGGAAAGAAAUUACUAGUUUGCUGGACCAAAUAUAUCUUAAAUCUUAAAUAAUAUAUACGGCAUAAUCCCCAGUGGAGCAUCAUAAUUUCCCAACGUUCUUUGAAAAUAACUUGUUACACUUAGAGCAUGUAAAACUAAUAAAAACAGACUAAACAAUUCAUGAUGAUACACAAUACAAUGUUAAAUGCAAGUUUGCAAUUGGUGGAUCAUCAACAGCAUCAGACAUGUUAAUGAAUCAAGAUAGCAAAGCUUUUGCUUUUUCUCAGGAAAAAUGUGCAUUGGAUGAUAUCUACUGAUAAAAUCCAUUGAAAAGGAUGUCUAUAGAUGGAGUAAACAGCUAUCCAAUUCCAAGACAAAUAGAGCAUAUAAGAAUGCAGGUCGAGAGUAGAAGAGGAUACGAUAUGCAGACAGAAGUUCAUCAUCCUUUAGGACUCUCCCACGACAAAUCAAGCGUUGUUGUUCAGACAAUAUUCCAGUUACGGUAGCGAUUUUUUCCUUUAGCAAAGGAACUGGCACCUGUAACAGGUCAAUGGAUUACUUAGCACAAGCACAUGCCGUAGCAUGUUUUUACGAAAUAAAAAUGGAACUCGCUAUUAAAAAAUAAUAAUAAUGCAUCAUCUAUUUCCAAAAGCUGAACUGACUAUAUAUAGAUUUUUAGUAGUUUACACCAAAACAGAUAAGACACGAAGCCAUUGCUUACGUGCUAGUAAAUUGUAACUGAUUCACAGCAACAACGCGACAAAACAACUAGCUAGAUCUGACAAAAUGAUCUAUGUCUUACUGAGCAGAGCCUUGACUAAAACUUCCUCAAAAAAGUGUCAUCGCAUGAGCACUCAAUAAACUAGACAGACACACAGGAAAAUACAAGACAUUUUUAGAAUACUUCAAAUCAGACCACAAGAACCCUAUGAAUAACACAUAAUAAUAUUAAAUAAAGAUAAUGCUAGAUAACUCGAGGAUGGAAGAACUAAUGCAGGUUCACGGGACUUCCAAUGAAUAAAGCAAUGAAAUUAAAUGGCAUCAAACCAAAAUAUUACUUAAAGGAAAAAAUGAAAUAUGGGAUGUAUUGAUAUGUUAUCAAAAUUACUUAAGAGACUACAGAACAAAUUUGCAACACCUAAAAAUGUGGUGUCUAAAGGCCAGGACGAAACAGUAAUUUCCUCUGAAGAGAAAUAGGAGGACAUCUCAGGAAUCACAAGGAUUUGUGCAUGCAAACAGCCAAGCGUUCCCAAAGUACAGUAGAAAACCACAACAACAUUGCAAGUAAAGCAUCCUUUGUUCCCAGAAAGCAACUACUCCCUCCGUUCCAUGAAGGCUGGCGUGACUUUGAACUAGCUAUAGUUCAAAACCGUGCCAAUCUUUGUGGAACGGAGGGAGUACAUAUGUAUGCAUUAUCAACUUACACAUUUGUUCACACGCAAAUUGUAUGUUUGAGAAUCCAAGGUUUUAAUGUUGAUCUCUAUUGUAGUCUCAGAAUCCUCAGCACAAUGUGACAUUUGUACAUUUGAAGAAUCGCAAUCCAUAAUCUCCUGAAAUGAAGCAAAGGAGUACUAGAAACAUGAACUGCAAUUCAGCUAUCAAGAGGUAUGAUUUGAUUCAUCAGUAUAAAUGACAUAACAAAGGGAAAUCAACUGCAUAUUGUGAAUCUAUCCUAGGUUACCCUUACCAUCCAAAAUAUUUGCAUGUCUCUGACGAGGCAAGUAUUAAAAGCAUUUGUUGCAGCAAGGAGGCAAAAAUUGUGAUUAUAAAGCUCCAGAGAAACAAUAGCAAAACAAACCACGAAUAUUCUAGAGCAAGCAAUAAAAAACUAGGCCACACUGCAUUUAGAAUAUACAACUCGCCUGGAUUACAUGUGUAGUAGACACAUUAAAAUAAUGUGGGAAUGUUAUGCAGGUGGUAAUUGGCAAAGUAAUUUUCGAAGUUACAAUGAAAAUGAAGAGUAGGUAAAGUUGGGACAGUAAGCAUAAAAUUGAAAAGGGCAUCCCAAAAUACUCGGAACUUGAUACUCCCUCUGAUCCUAAAUUUUUGACUCAAAUUUACCCAAAUAUGGAUGUAUCUAUUCUUAAAAAGCGUCUAGAUACAUGUAAUAUUUCGACAACAAUUUAGGAUCGGAGGGAGUAGUCAAUAGAGGCAAAACAUAACAUAUCUGUAAACCAAAAAAACCUACAGAAAUAUGAGGUAGACUGAUUUAUUUAAGAAAAUUAAGUUGCUCGUUGGGCCACUGCUGUCUGUUGUGUUGUAGAACAAAAAUGCCAUAUCUCCAUUGACAGAUUCCUCCCUAUGCUACGGACACGCACGCUACAACGCAACAGACAUCAGUGACCAAUGAGCCACUUAAUUUUCUUAAAUAAAUAGGUCUGCCUAGUAUUGCUAUAGGUUUCUAGGGUUACAAAUAUAUGAACUUUUUGGCCAUUUCACUUAUUGUGUUAUGUGUUAUUUGGGGAACUUAAGUUGCAUAGCCUUUUCAAUUUUAGGCUCACUGUCCCCACUUUACCUGCUCUUCAUUUUUAUUGGAACUACCAGAAUCUACUUUGCCAAUUACCUGUCAGCAUAUUAUUCAGCACAUAUUUAAAUGUCUAAUACACAUAGAAUUUUUCAAAUCGUUAAAUAUCUUUCAUUGUUUUUCCAUGAAGAUGUCCUCAAGGUUCUUGUAAAGACUCAAGAAUGCCCCUGGCCUAUUGCCUAGUUUCACCUCCUCACAUAAUUCACAAAAAUGUAUUGAAUGUGUCCCAAAUUGUCUUCUACGUCUAUUUCAUUUUAUCAACUCACUGAAUAAAAUUAACCAUCGGGAAUGAGCACCAUCCAUCCAGCAUAUCAUAAAAAAGUUAAUCAUCAAAUGAGCAACAUCCAUACAUCAUAUACAUGCACAUUCACCAAAUCAUACAGCAGCAGCAGGCAACAAAUCCUACAGCGCAGCAGCAGCAGGCAACAGCAGCGGCACACCAUACAGCAGCAGCUUACGAGGUGGAAAUUACCAGCAGAAGGUGGAUGGCGACCGGGGCAGGUGGUGGACGGCAGCCUGGGGACCCGAGGAAGAGGUGGUGGAGGACGGCGUGGACGGCAGCCUGAGGAGGUGAUUCAGGAGGCUGGCGACGGCGGCGGUGAGUCGAAGAUGACAGGUGGCGGGGCGGAGGCACGUGCCGGCUAGAGCUCGGGGAUGUCCGGAUCCGCAGGAGGAAAAAGAACCGGCGGCCGCGGGAGCUAAGAGACGGUGGCGUCGUGUCGGGGAGGGCACUCGGAGAUGCGGGGCGGCCGCCGGCAGGGAUUCGGCGAGUUGAGAUCGGGAUGACGGAUAAGGUGGAGAAGGAGAUGGCGAAGGAAGCGGAGGCGGUAGCGUCGGGUCCGCCGGCGUGGAUAGGGGCCGCCGGCGAGGGAAGAGGCGGCGGCGACGAAACCCUAGUUUCCUGGGGAUAUCGGGGGGGAGGGAGGCGAACAGGAUGGGAGACGGGAAGAAAAGAGGGUUUUUUAAUCAUAUUUUGCCAAAAUUACGUAUAGUUGGUGAAAAGGAUUUUUGUAUCGUAUAGUGUCAAAAUUACUGAGGUUUUUACUACAUUCUUUAAACGAGAGAUUCUUUCAAGACAUUUCUUAUCAAACUGAUAAUGUGUGAUAGAACAUGGUUAUUUUUUACAUGUUUAUUACGUACGGUACAAAGUAGUUCGUUCUAUUCUUGUACGCAUGGCAUAUCAUCCAUCACCCCAUUACUAUAAAAGCAACUCCGGUAGAUUCCUUAUAAGGCCCCCAAUAGUUAAAUAUGGAAAUCUGACCCAAAAACGUGCUCCAGCAGUGGUCACAUCUUAUGCCCCAUAUCGAAGGACGCUCCAAAUCGAGGUCGGGAUUCCCCAUAUUGAGGAUCGUGGUUGGGAUCCUCCGUCCCCAACCAUCGAGCAGGAGAUCUCCGUCCUACGCAUUCGUUCCCUCCGCCCAUGUACGUACGCCAUCUUCUUCCUCUGCUUCUGUCUCUGUCUGCUUCGCCCGAGUGGAAAGGCGCCCGGAUCUGAGAGAAGUCGGAGGGGCCCGGCGGCGCGGGCUGGCGACGGGGUGUUGGGCUGGGGCGAGCGGCGGCGGGCGACUCUGAGUGCUGGACAUCAUAAUUUUGUACAUGUUUACUUCUUUCUACUUAGUACAUUAACACAUGUUUGCUCACUAAAACACCGUUUGUUGACAUACACUCGCUCCAUCGCUAAGAAAACCGUUUUUAACUAGCAUCUCAUUUUCUCUCCCGAUUGCUUUUUUUUAGCGAACUCUCCCGAUUGCUAAAACCUAUGUUCGUCCUUAGUGCCAAACUAGAUGGGCCAACGCGCUUCGCUGCGUCGUUGGCCUGGCCAUGGCCCAUGGGUUGCGAUAUCUACAGCUUUGUAAGUUUGAGGUAGUUGUUUGCCUUCGCACUUUAGGUGCUUCAGUCUAAAUUGUCAAGUAAUAAUAUUUGAACACAUCAUGUGAGCCAUUUCACUCGAACAGCAAGAUCACGACAUCUUCGACCAUGGUCUGAACUGUUUUGUACUCAGAAUUAGCCAUGUGCAUUGCUACCGUAAUAAACUAAUAAUGCAAUCACCAUUUGUGCAAUUUCACCGCAUUCAGAAAAUUGUAUGUAUCUGUUAGACUACUACCCUAUUCUUUACUAACUUCGUCUCAUUAAUCCGUAUAAACUAAGUAUUGAAAGUCAUUUAUAUUCUGACUGAACUUUCAGUGAUAAAAUGCUACCUUCUGAUAUUCUCCUUGUUGGUAAGAAAAGAGAGAGAGUGCAAGUCCACAGUACUGCAAAACUACACAAAAAACAUAUGAACAUUUUAUCGCCAAGGUAAUAAAGUUUAUAACCAUUUUGCGCAAAAUAAAUGACGAUUAUAACCUUCAAUCUGAACUCAAUUGUUGGUUUAAAACAUGCAGAUUACAACUCAAGUGAUAAAUACCAAGAACACAGUCCGCCAGUCCGCCAAGGGGAUAAACACCAAUGAACUAAUGUGAACCCUACUUGCCACCAUCCGUCUGAGCAAGAUCAGCCUUCGGCCAUUGCCAGCGCCUGCCAUCGAAGAUAUACCCAAGAACUCAGGAACCCUAGCAAGGAGUAGAGGCCUAGAGCGCGAAAGAAUAUGAGAAAGAGAAACUCACCGGAGAGAAUUAGCUCGCCAUGGAAGGUGCUGGAGGCCCGGAUGUGUAGUCGCUGCAGCGCUGCCGCCGCCGAGUUGCCACUGCCCCGCCGCCGCCGAGUCUAUGUGCAAGAGCGGCCUCCGAUUCGAGAUAAUUCCCACCGAUCUAACCGCGGGCCGCGCACCACCCAAGAGGCCAAGAAGAUCAUUCCGGAACAACAGAUCAGAUCAACAACAAAAAAAGAAACCGAAGCAACGGCGUAGAUGCCUUCAGAGAAGAGAAAUACAAAGUCUUUUUUUAAAGCCUGUAAUAACUUCAAGAAAUACAAACAUCGAUGCCAAGUCUGAGACAUGAACCUACCUCAGCUCAGGUGCAAAAUACAAAGUCUUAGGGUUAAUUUGUUCGUCCCGGCCACACUUUUUAGGGGGUCGUCCUUCAUAUACGAUAAGUUUUUUGAGUGAUCAUUUACGAGAAGUUCAGUAGGGCGCAGACCAGGAAGGUGCAUGGCCAUGGCCAACAAUGCCGGUCGCAGAGAGCACACCCCGAAGGUAAGUGCGAUUUUAACCGGUGUCCUCUGGUCAUAUAGGUCGACCGUCCGAAGAGACCCUGCCUAGUGCCUACACACACAUGCAUUGUUCACAGAAGGUUGCGAUGACAUUUUGAUAAAGGUUGGAAAGAGUACCACACUUUCUAGUUAAUGAAAGACAAUCAGGUAUGCUUUUGACAACGUUACAAAGAUAGCACGAUUCUGUGUUAUUCACUUCAGACUGCAUCAAAACUACAAACUGGGUGUACAUGCAGCGAGGACGUGAAAUCUAAAUCACUGGAAAGAAGCUAUUUCAUCACUAAAACGUGUGAUGACGUCAGCAAUGCUUUCUGUGGAUAGUUCUGCCUUGUCUCGUACCCUAAGGACGACCUGCAACAGAAUAAGCCAUGCAGAUAAUUCAGCAUUAUGGGAAGAGGCAAAAAUCAAUCAGGCUAUAUUAUUUCCACAUGGGUUUAUAUUGUUGUUUAUGUGAAGUGUAUUGCUGCUUCAAAUCUUUAAAGGAAGGAGUUACGCACGGACUUGCAUGGUCUUAAGCCCUUAAAAUUUCAAAAUUCAUACAACUAUACACUUUAUAAUAGUAAAAUACACACAUGAUAAAUAUUCAAGUGAUGUAUAAUGAAAUUCCUAGCAAUUAUCCAAGGUGGCAGAUUUGAUAGCCGUGCUUGCUAAUACUCAGCAAUAGAUAUUUCAUGCUACGAUUUGUGAUGAGAAUGAUGAUUUGUACUAUUAAACAGCCCAUCAUAUCAACCUAAUAUUUGAAUUUUGUCAAACAAAACAGAUAUGUAGGUUCAAUUUCUAAAUGGGUGCAAAGUCAAACCUUUCCAGUCUCAGCCUCUUUUGCACCUACGACAAGAAUGUAGUUGAAUUGGGCUAAUUGAGCCUCUCGUACCUGCAAUAAUGAAAAUUGACUAUAACCAUUCUAAUGAUGCGAAUUUUGUGAAUCUAAGUCCAUAUGAACCCCUUUUGCUUGUGUACUUUUAAAAAUAGAUGCACAAAUGUUAGAACAAAAUAAUACGCACAUAAUCAUAUCUCUGCACAAGUGUUUGUGUGCACUCCCAAUAUACGGAGUAUUAUACAUAUAUGAUUUUUUAAAGAAAACUUCAUCUGAUUUCUAAUGAGAUACAGUCCUUUCAAAUCAACUUACUCUGCCAUAAUUCCAUGUUUUGCCCUUCAGAGAGUAUAAACAAAUGACAAAAUAUGCACAUGGUACAAGAAUAGAAAGGAACUCUGCCAAGAUGAAAUAUCUAGCUACCUUCUUUUGAAUUGUUCUAUCAGUCAUAUCGAUGUCAACAUGAAAACCAGCUGCAUGUAUCUUAGCAUGAACCUGAACAUGAGAAACAAAGUGCUUAGUCACCAAGUGUCCAAAAAUAAGUACAUAUAUAAUUUUACUUAUGUUGUGAAAAUCUGAUUGUUAUGGAAAACAUUUGAUAUGACUGUCAAAUAUUUAUGUUAUGAUUACAAUAUAAAAUCACAUAGUUCCAAUACUAGUACAUCCAGUGUCUUUUGGAAUCCCUUAAGCCAAAUAGAGCCUAAUUAAACAAAGUCUAUAUGAACUUUGAAUGUUAUGCUGAUGUUUUACAUAAAUGAAAAAGAUCGACGUAGUAUGAUUAAACAAGAACACAAUAGAAACAAUCCAAAUUGAUUUCACCAAUUCAUCAUGAGACUAAUUUCAAAUCAUCCUCACUACGUUGAAGAGAUCUAUUUUUUUUUCCAAGACCCUGAGCAACCACAAGUUUCAAAGACCAAUAGUAAACAAGAAAAAUAACUUUUCAAAGGCCCAUAAGAAACCCACAUCUGUGGUUAAGCCCCCCUUUAUGGCCAAAAGGUUGACCUGCAUCCUACAUUCUAGUGAAACCAGGCAAAACAUUUCAAACAACAAAAAAACUAGAACCAUAACCUAAAGACUAAAGUUUUCUGGAACUCCUUAAAAGUUCAAAGCUUCGACGAUCAGACUAAAACAGAUCUUCCCCACCCAAAAAUCUGCUCAAAUCUGCCAACAGGAAGUAACUCUGCCAGAUUGACCUUAGUGAGGAUUAGUGCAUUUUGGAGAAUUACAGACAAGCAACACCAGCAAUGAGAGGUUUUAAGGUGCUCUUUUAGAUGGGUGGGGGUGAACCAACCGCAUAUUGAUGCACGUCUGGAAAAGAUCCAAUAUAGAAAAUGGAUCUACUACAUGCACUAAAACAAUACAUUCAUAAUGUUUUUAGAAAAUUUUGAAACAGUGAACCCAUAGGGACAACAGGUCAAUUCCGAAAGUCAUAAAAGAAAGAGACAUGUCAAACAUUGUGACUGAAUCAGAGAGAGAGAGAGGGAGACGGAGAGGGUAAGGGCAACCAAGUGGAAAAUACUCAGGCAGGAGAUUUUAGUUAGCACAGAGAAGAGCUAUGGAGUUACUCAAAUUUCAGAUACAAGGACUAUUUACCUCUUUUGCAUAUUCUAAGGAAUUGGAAGACACACAGCAAACAAUGGCUUGGCGAGGGCUUAACCACAAUGGCCAUUUUCCAUUGUAGUGCUCCAAAAGAAUGGCAAACAUCCUUUCAACUGAUCCCAGUAUUGCCCUGUGUAUCAUCACAGGCCUCUCAAGCUUGGCUUCAUCCUCUGCCGAGUAACUCAACUUGAAGCGAAGGGGCAGCUGAAAAUCGAGCUGUAACAGACAAUAAAGGUCAAUACAAGCAAAUUUUAUUCUCUACAAUUGAUGUCAAGAUAACAUUAAAGAGAAACCUGUAGGGUUGCACAUUGAAAUUUCCUCUUGAGGGCAUCAAACACACCAAUAUCUAUUUUUGGACCAUAGAAAGCACCAUCCCCUUCAUUGAUCUGCACACAAACAUCUAUGUGAGUACUGGGAUUCAUGGGUUAAGGGCCUGUUUGGUUUGAGCCCCAGUCUGCCCCACCAAAAUUUUGGCAAAUGUUGGCAUGACCAAAACAAGGGCAUGACCAAUAUUUUGGUAAGUAGAUGUUGUUUGGUUUGUAGCCAAAAAAAUUUGGCAAAAUUUUUAGAUUUACAUUUGGUUUGCAACAAACUUAGUACUCAAACAUUUGGCUUGAUCUAUUUCUCGGUUCGUGAGGUAGCAGACAAGAUUUAGAGAUAAAUCAUGGGUUAUAAAAAAGAAUAGACAAAGAUAAAAGAAAAGUAGCUAGAGUUUUCCACCGAUGGACUUGAGAAAUGAGAGAAGGUCAAGGUACCGAUGCUCUGUUUCGUUGCACAGCCAGAGAAAAAGAUUUAGCAAGAAAAAAAUAUAGAAAAAGGCUGGGGCCCACCAAGGGUCAGAGGUAGAGCGCCCUGCCAAUUCGUUGGCGAAGGUUUUCGCCGCCCUCGUUUUCGCCAACGUUUCCGCUGGAGCAGCACGAGCGCGCCCAAGAUGACCUGGGCGAGCCAACUUUUUGGUUCUCAUCCAAACAACAUCCAAAUACCAUUGGCAAGCCAAUUUUUUGGCACGGCAGGUAUUGGUUGUAAAGCAAACAGCCCCUAAGAAACAGCCAAGUCCUGGCAGUUUCUUUCAAUAGCAAUUUGAACACUGAAGUAAAUACUAGCAUGAUAGUACUGAUAUAAAUCAAAUCAGUCACAAGAUGAAUUAGAAAUAAUAUACUCCCUAGAUAUUAAGCAUUAGUAACUUGAGGUUGCAAGAACAGAUAACUGCUAUCCACCAGCAUGAAAUAUGUUUACAGCUUUCGCUCAUCAGAUAUCACUCAAAUAUACAAAAUGCAUAUUACAUUUCUACCAUUGAAGAUCAACAGAAAGUAUAACCUACUUUCAUCAAUAGUUUUUUCUACAAUGUCAGCCAAGGAGGAAUAAACAACGGUCAACCGAACAACAAUUUUAUGCAAGGCCUGUAGUGAAAGUGUAAAAUGAGGAGCAAAUAAAGAUGAUAGAAUAAUUUGGUGAGCCCCCAAUUGCCAUUCUAAGAGCCUGUUUGGUUCUCAUCCACAAUCUGCCAUGCCUAACCUUAGGCACUCCACAGUUUCUUAGGCAUGUGUUUGCUUUGCACCAGAACCAUGGCAUGCCACACUUUUUAUUGUUCAUAAAUGGUUGAUUAUCAUACAACUUUCGCCAAAUAUUGCCAUAAUCGUGGCAUGGAUGUUGUUAAGCCACACUUUUGUAAGCUUAGCUGUAGCAAAGUUAGCCAUAUACCAAACAUCUAGCAGCACUGAGUGAUGCAAACAGUACCUUCCAUGGUUUCCCAAACUCAUCCAGGGCUUCUGUCAGUUGUUGCUCUGCUUUGUUCCAGGUCUCGAUGUCACCUAAGUAUUUCUCUGGUCUCUGAAAAAAUAAACAUUCGUGAGACUCUUUUGAACAGAUUGGAGGAUGAAUAAUGACCAUCAACAAUUUGAUUGAGGUUAUUCUGUACAUAUAUUGACAAGGUCAAUCGAGCAGUAGGUUUAGGCCCAUAUAUUAAACCCAUAACCAUCAACAAUUUGUUAGAGAUGAUUACCGUUGAUAACUCCAAUUCAUACUUAAACCCAAAUAUUCCGUAAACGUAAUCGAUGAAAUCCAAACAACCCCUAACUUCAGCCUUGAUCUGCAACAAUGAAACAACUUAUAAACGGUAAUACAAACUGAGAAAUCAUCUCAAGCACUAAACUAAUCCAAACCACAAUACAGCUACUGUCAAAAAAAGUAAGUCAUGGUAAUUGGUAGACACACUGAGCAACUCUGUGGAUGCAAAACUGAACUCUGAACCUGCUGGAAAUAUCAGAAAGCCUAAGGGCUUGUUUGGCACAGGUGGAUUUCACAGGAUUUUGAGGAAUUCUGGGGAUUCUAAUUAAACAUGAACUACAAUCCCCCAAAUUCUGUAGAAAUCCCGUGAAAUCCACCUGUGCCAAACAACGCCUAAAUGUCAUAGAGCAAAAUGAUCAACACAAUUCCAAUGCAUCACUACUCUUCUAAAAAGGAUGAAAAACACAUGGUCUAUGUAAAUCACAAACUUACUUGGCUCUCUGUGCAAAAUAUAUGGGCAUCAUCCUGCAAGGGACAUAAAUAAAAAUGAUGACCAAAGUAUAUAGUUAAUCAAAAACAAUAUUUUAUCUUGGAAACUAAAAAUUCAUGGGAUCACAAUUAGCCUUUACCUGCUGGAAUCUUCUGACACGUGUCAAACCUGUAAGUGCACCACUAAGCUCGUUUCUGUGCAGAACUCCAAAAUCAGCCAUGCGGAGAGGUAACUCUGCAGCAUUUAAUUAAACAAAUUUGCUAGAAUUAGACACCAAAUUUGUCAAAUCCACAUGAGUACAGCAGCAGAUAAGAUUCCCCAAAGAGUCCCUUAGAUAAUGGCAACUUAAUGCAGUAGGCAAGUAAUAGCUGAAAUUGUGCGUGUGGAGGUUGACUUGAUUUGAGUACUAAACAUAAAUUGGAGUCAAAACUAAUCGUCUUUAAUUUGGAGACCAGGUAUUUCUACAUAGAAAAGGCUGGCUUCUAAGAAAGGGAAUUGUUUCGCACCGUGCGUUUGUUAUAUAGUGCCCAACUUUUUCCAUCAUUUCGAGUUGGCUGAACUGGUUGGAGGAUGCAACUCAAUAUGGUAUUAGAGCCAAGAGGUCUCCAGUUCAAGACCCAGCGGACACAAUAUUAAUUAACAAAACUGUGAACUAAUUUGAUCCCACAUAUAAGUCCUAGAGUAGCAUAAACAUGAUGGAUUGGGGUUCAAAUAUAGUGUCUACCUUUCUCCAUCAAUUUCAGCUUUUGGAUGGUAGGUGCAUGAUACACGGUACCGUGAGAUAUUUUUAUUUAUAGAAAAGCAGUUCACCAAAUGCCAAUGAGACAGAGCACCAACCGCCAUAUAUAUAAUAAAUGUGCAACUCACAGUACGAAUUAAAUAGAAAGACAGCAUAAAAUAUCGCAGGAAAAUUAGUUCAGAAAGGAAGAAGCUUUAAGAUAACUAGAACGAUGAUUUUGCAAGGUAUUGAAACUAGGUAACCAAUAUCGAAUACGUGCCUAAACCUGUAGCGAUUAUAUGGGUAAUUAAAGUACUCGCCUACUCAGCCUUGCACUUGAUUUUUCUUGUAACCGGUGAGAGUACCUAGUGUGUAUGCCCUCUAGUAGACCUAGUUUCCAUACCUUGCAGCUUUAACUUGACCAAGAUCACAUCCAGGAACAAGUAUAGCAAGAGAGGAGCUUACCUCUAUAUGAACGGACCUUGUGGUCAAACAUUAGGCAAUGACCAGGACAAUUCAUUGGCUUAAGGCCAAAUUCUUGUUUCUCAAUCUGCACAAGAAGAAAACCAACGGGCACCCAUAAAGGUCAUAACCGCCAAUGAUAUUAAUCUAUAGCAUGACACUUAUGAUUCUGCUGUAGCAUAUGCCGAUGUCCUUACCUCAAAAACAAACAUGUUCUCCUUGUAGUUUGCAGCAUGUCCAGAGGUUUCCCAAAGUUGCAUAUUGUAAAUGUUUGGACUCAAGACCUAAUAAAUAUACAAACAUAGGAGAAAACAAAAACACAGAGAGUUGUUCAGCUAUCCAUAGUCUAGGAAGAUAAGUGCUAUAUAGUAAAUUAAUUCCGACCUCUUGGUAGCCUCUCUCUCUAUACUGCCCUCGCAAAAAAUCCAUCAAUUUGUUAUAUAUUAUAGCACCAUGUGGAAGGAAGAAGCAGCUUCCUGGGCUGCAUAGUUGCAAAGUUCAUCAAAGAGCUAUUCUUAUGGUAGGCCAGCAAGCAAAGAUCUAGAAACUAAGGUAUGGAAGAGAAUAAAAUAGAACUGGAAAUGCUAACGUACCUAAGUGGAUGGAAAAAGAAGAGUUCCUGAGACUGCCCUAAUAACCUAUGAUCACGCUUCUUAGCUUCCUCUAUCAUAUGUUGAUAUUCCUGCAGAUUAUCAAGCAAUAAAUAUGUAUGAGAAACAGAAUAAGCCGUUGAUAACAUGGAAAUAUUAAGAAAAUAUGAAUAUAUAUCUAAAAUUAAAAUUCAGAAGGACUAUGCUGUCUUUGAUGUAACCAUCUUUUAGACCAGGGACUUUGUCUGAGCUGACCAAUUGAAGGCAUAAUAUGUCUCCACAAGGACACAGCUGCCGUGCAGUGUUGUGCAAAUCAACUGACCGCAACACAAAAAAAACAAAGAUGCUAGCGAAAAUUCAAGGAUAAUAUACAUUGGGCGCACACCAGUUUCCACAUCAUCCAUGGAGCAGAAAUUUUAUGUCGUACCUUGAGACGUUUAGAAUCAGGGAAAGAAAUUCCAUAUACUCUCUGUAGGCUCUCACGGUCUGCUUUCCCCCUCCAAUAUGAUGCUGAAGCCUAAUAUUUACAUGAAAAUUCAGAUCUUUAGUACUCAACUUCAUCAACAGAACCUGGAGCUCAAUGCAUAACCAAAGAAAAAUGACCUUGAGGCAAGCAAACGCUUUAACAAAAGAAGUAUUUGGUAUGUGGGGGCCACGGCAAAGGUCGACUAAAGGACCACAUCUGUACACUGUAAUGGUCUUGUCCUCGGGCAAUUCAUUAAUGAUUUCAACCUGAGCAUACAGUUAAAAAAUAAUCAAGAACAUGAGUACAAUUUCUCAGAUAUGCUACAUGCAGCAAUUUGAUAAUUUGAUAAUAUAAAAGCUUGAAAGAAGCAAGAUAUGAAUGAGGAAGGCUACCUUAAAUUGAUUUUCGGCAAAAAUUUCAAGAGCUUCAGCCCUGGAGACUUCAAUGCGUUCAAAUGGUUGCUUUUCCUGCAGAGUUGAGUUGAAGCAAAAUACUUGUUAAUGCAGUCAAUUUAUGCCAUAAAGAUAAGGUACUGCAUUAAAAUAAGUUGUAUUGCUGCACAGUGUCCACAAAGUCAGGGUCAACAAAAAGCUUGAGUAAAAACAGUUCAAUAAAACAUGAGAGCAUACCGCAACAGCCUUUUGAGCUUGUUUCUCAACGAGACCAAAAUGUGUAUCAUUCAGUGUCACGUCAUUGUAGUGAGCAUCAUAGUAGAAACCCUUAAAAGGCAAAGUGGAAACAUCAAGAACAUGAGUAAUGACUGAAAAACAGGGCUAACCUAUUUUCAUGUGCUAACCGUAACUUAGACUAACUACAUACCUCCCCUCUCGUAGUACAAGGCCCAAUGCACAGCUUGCAGCCGUACGCCCUCUCUAGAGACUGCAAGUGAACAACUUCAAUUAGAGAAACUUGAAUUGAGAAUGGACCAUAACAGAGAAUUGGGAAAAUCAAACACCGGGCAACUAAUUCACAACUUGCCCGUAACGAAAAAUCAGGCUCAAAGAUAUCUUUGGAGGUUUUAACUCACUUCUCCAAGAAUAUGAGCACUCGAGUGCCAGAAUGUGUCACGCCCUUCAUUGCUAUCAAACUUAAACAACUUCAAGUCACAGUCACCUUCCAAUGGCCUCUCCAUAUCCCAGAGUAUUCCAUUCACUUGAGCUAUCAAACAGCUAGCUGCUAACCCACUUGAUAUCCCCUUAGCAAUGUCCAUUGGGGUUGAUAUCCACUUUUUGCCUUCCUUAACUGCGCCGUCGGGCAGAAUUAUCCUGAGUGACAUGCAGGAAACACCAUUACAAGAAGAAUUCAUUGCCAUCAUGCAAAGCAGAUGAUUACAUAUGUACUUGAAUUUAAACACCAAAGGAAGGUAUACCAAGGGAAAAAACAGUAGGCUGCAAACCAAGGUUCAAAAUCAUAUGAUCUCAGUAUCAGGGGUGGCGCCAGCAUAGGGACAAGCAGGGGCGGCCAUCCCGGGUCUCUGGAUGCACUCUCAGCCAUAGCCGAGCUCCAAGCUCCGUUCUAUAGUGCCAUUGUGGAUUGGAGAAAUACGUGCUCACACCUGGGUGUGAGUCACGGGAAGGAGACAAGCAAACUAUCUCCUUGUGUUUCAUGGGCCUGUGCCAAACACAGUUAAGUGAAAGGCCAGUAAAGAAAUAGCCCAGCAUGGCCACUCAUGCCCUCCACAGCCAAAAAAAUACACUAAUCUUUAUGCUUUUCAAAGCCUCAAAAGGUCAAGUUUCUAGUCCUUUAACUGUAGACAAGUGAAUGGAAAUAUAUUGAUUGAUCAGUGCAGCAUAUACACCUCGGAUCACUAAUCCUCAAUCCUUAAGGAUGGCUAUCUCUCUACUGAGCGACACACCAAACACAUUGAUAUCAUAAGGAAGUCAUGAUUAUGACACGUGAUAAUUUCGGAGGUCUUUAGGUGAAGUUAGUUCCAUCUAGACAACAUUUGAUUUUUUUUCCAUUUUUUUAAUCAUCUCUUCUGACUUGGAUUCAUGUCACAUGUCAUGACAUUGUCAGCUGAAAGAGUUUUCUCGGUCACUGAUAUCAUAAAGACAUCUUUGAAAUACGAUAAUCGGUGAAUGAUUUGACGGUAUGCUACAUUGAGCAAGAAAUAUCUGUGAAGCUUUAGUGAUAAAAAAUAUUAAAAAAUUCGCAUUAUACAAUUGUCCACAUAGAGUUAUGUUGACUGUAGUCUAUAAUAUAUAUUUUAAUCUUUUUUUGACAAGAGUUCGCCCCUGCAAACUUCAAAUCCUCAGCGCUGCAUAGUGCCAUCCUAGGUAGAUAAUGCAAGUUCGUUGAACCCUACAGAAGUUCAGAUAAUUUUCGUCCUCUGUAAUAGUGUAAUCUUCAUGUCUCAUCAACAAUCAACUGCCCCGGUAAACGACUUAGAAAGCCGAUCUGAAAUAUGAAGCGGGUAUGUCCAAACGUGCACAGAGCCACACGCUGCUACACGAAUUCCAAUUCAGCAGCCCCCAGUUGACCCACUGCGCUAAUUAUACAGCAAAGACGCGCGAGCAGAUCGCGGGAGCACUCACUUGAUGGGCUCGCCGCCGAUGUUGAGGCGCUCGAGGGCCUGCCUGGACUGAAUCUCCUCGAAGAGGCGGAUCCUCUUCUGCGUCACCGCCUCCAGGUAUGCCCCGUCGGGCACGACGGUCGGGGGCGGAGCCGACGCCUUCCCCUUCGCAUCUUUCCCGGCGGCGGACUUAUCUCCUGCCAUCGCCGCGGUGGAAAGGCGGAGAGGGGAGAGGGACAGGAGGCGAGCGGGGCGAGGCAGGAGCGGGGGUAGGGAGCGGGGCGGGUGCUGCCGGAGGAGCGAGAGGCCUCGCCGGAGGCACACAAGCAUAUAGCGGCGGCGGCGGGAAGGGAAGGGAUGUGCUGCUAAGGUAAGGGUUUGAGCCCGAGGGUUUUGACUUUAUCCGUGCUAGUUUGGGUGUGAGCCAAAGGCAAAAGGCAUCAUCGCUGUUAAGAAAUGAGGAGGCACCUUAAAAAAUGGGAGGUUGCCAGGCCAAGGCAUCGCCAGAAAUCGGAGACAGCCUUUUAAAACACUUUUCUUGUAACUUGUUACAAAUACUACUCCCUGGAUUAUACAAAUUCACGUGACUUAUUUUGGGACGGAGGAAAUAGUCCGUAUAAACUUCAUAUUCUACUCCGUACUGAUCUUAGUAGAUUUUCCUAUAAAUUUGCCCAAACUUGCCCUGUCAAAAAAAACAUGGUCACAAUUGAAGAAAUUUUGAUUUAGACAAAACUAGGACUUCUAUAUUUACAAACAGAGGUAGUAAUUACUUUUGUUCUUAAAUAUAAGGUUAUUUUAUUUAAUGCUAAGUUAAAUUUGAUUAAAUUUGUAAAAAAUAAACAUUUAUACAUCAAACAAGCAUACUAUGAAGAUAUAUAUAAUGAUGAAUAUAAUUUAGUUAAAUUUUAAUUUGACUCAGAACAAAACAUCAUGUAUUUAUGAACGAGAGAGUGGUAUCCCCAAUUUUUCCUGCAAGAAAAUAAUAUGUCCACAUGAAAAAAAAAAGAUGCAAGCGAGUGCCUACACACGUCAACACACACCUUAUUUUAUUGCCAGCACAUGGAGCAUCCAAAUAUUCAUGUGGACAUAUUCUUUGUUCUUACCGCCACCAGCCAGUAAACAGGCAUGUUCUUUCAGCGCAAACAUUCAAAGUAGAGUGCAACCACUCUGGUGAAAUUUGUGUACUUGGUACGAGUAGAUAUAGAUGGACGGUGUUUGAGUCAAGCACCUAUAGUCAUGUUCUUAAAUACAAGGGUGCCAUGUGUUGUAGCUCAUGGAGUUGCCUCAUCUUACAGAUUUUCUUCAGAGUGCUUUGUCAACAAAUAAUCAGCUCGAGAUGUUAUUAGCUGGAAGUUGAGGGCAUCCUUUGACAACACAGUGUUUCAGUUGAUCAGGGGGUGGCAAACCUUCUAGACAAGAUAGUGCUCCACAAUCUGUCACACUUAACUUGGUCAAUGCCUUGCAGGAAUGAAGCCUUAUGCGUGUUAAAGCUGAACACUUCGCUAUCUCAACUUCACUUAACUCCAACUCAUCCUCCUCACAUGACUGGGAGCCUGUACUCACCCCACCACGAUUGAAAUCAACAUUAAAUUCUUUCAGAGAUGACAAACCAGUCAAGUGUAGUUUCUUCAGGAAUGGCAACUCUUCAAACGGUGGAAGAACCUUCAGUGCUGAACAGUCCUGGAGAUGGAGGCUUUCUAGAUUGCCGAGUGAGAAAUUUUCUCCCAGCCAUGAUGGAGUAGCACCAGCAUAGUUUAUGACAUGGAGAUGUGCGAGGUAAUCAUGUGGUUUAAGACCCUCGAUUACUUCUCUCUGAACAGAAGGAUUCCCACUUGCACUACCCCAUGAGAGUGAAAGUGUCCUCAGAUGUUUUUUAUCUUUAAUCCUUGCACGAUUAGCCUCUUCCUUCUUUGUGGCAUUCUCAAGAUCAAGGAUAAUAAGCGAUCCCCUGAUCUCGUUUAAGUACUCCAGCUGCGAGAUGGCAAAGCCACUGUCUCGCUGCACCCGGAACUCAUUCAGCUCUUGUAGAAACUUAAGUUCUCCAACUCUUGAUAUCUUCGAGUGCAAUGACCCUGACUCCGGAACAAGUAAAUAGCGGAGGUUGACAAGAUUACUCAUACCCUUUGGCAAAUCAUCUAGGCCGCUCCAAUGUAUGAUGUCCAGUACCUGUAGGUGGUAGAGCUUACAGAUGGCCUCAGGCAAAGGGUUGCGCAUAUCAGAGGUAGACCUCAGUUCUAAAUAGCGAAGAUGGAUGAACUUUUUAACACUGGAUAGCAACACGUCAGCAUUGAAGGGCAUUGCAGAUAACUGAAGUACCCGGACAUAACGUGAUUGCUGAAGAGUCUUCACAAACUUUGCAGAGAAGUUCUCAUCAUAUACACCUACAAGCAUUAAACUCUCCAAGCUUCUCAGAAUACCACUAUUCUGAAUUUCUUCUAGCUUUUCUUCAAAAGUCUCACUACGUUCUAUGCUUAUUUCCUUAUAAACCAACUCCGUCCAGAUGCCAAGAUGACGAAUGGAUGGGAAAACUUUCCGAUGGUCUGAGCCAUCAAUGGUAAGGCACUCACAUAGUGAGACUUCUCGUGCUACAUCAUGUAUUAAAUCAUGCACAACAAAGUACUGCCCAUCUUUCUGUAAGAAGCUCCGGUCUACCAAAUCAUCAAAACUGUCACUUCCUGCAUCUUCCAAUUUUCUUCUCUCGUCAAUGAGAAAGCCAAGAGCGAUCCAUACACGUAUCAGCUGUUCCUUAUCGAAUUUGUAACCUUUUGGAAACAGAGCACAAUGGGAAAAGAGGAGCUGAAGGUGGUAGGACAAGUGAUUGUAACUGAGCAUUAGUGCUGGUAUGAUACCAUCUGUACCAUUUUGUAACUUCCAUUCAUCACUGUCCAAAAUUUUUCUCCAGUGAACCUCAUGAAGAUUUCUUCUCAAAAGCGUGCUGACACUUUUAGCUGCUAAUGGAUUUCCUUUCAGCUUGGUGGCUAUUUGCUUUCCAAUUUUUUGAAGCUUCUUCUGACCUUGAUAAUUCUCAUCACCAAAUAUGCAUCUUUUAAAGAAGCACCAAAAUAUAUCAUCCUUCAUACCAUCCAAGUUGAUGUGCUCCUCCAUUUUGCUUGUUAUGCUGGCAACAGACAACUUUCGGGUUGUUACCAGAAUCACAUUACCUUUAACUUCUGUACAUCUAAGUGGUGCCAACAGCUUGUCCCAACGACCCUCACUCUCCUCCCACAUAUCAUCCAAUACAAGUAAAAAUCUUUUGGUUAAGUGUUCCUUGAUACCACGCUGAAGCACAGUGAGGUUUUGAGUAUUUGUAUGCUCGCAUUCAGGUAUUUGUUCCAGAAUACUUUGCGUAAGCUUCACUUCGUCAAAGCUCGCAGAUACAUAGACCCAAAUCCUGAUGUUGAACUUAGCUUUUACAUCUGGGUCAUGGUAAACUAGUCGAGCGAGUGUUGUCUUCCCAACACCUCCAUCACCAACUAUUGGAACAACUAAAAGUUCUUGACCGCUUGAUGCACUGCUACUAAUUAGUUUGAGAAUACCAUCCUUCUCUUCCCUUGAGAACACCUUAGUUUCAGUGAAACUCUCCACUGCCUCACGUGUGUCUGUGCUUGUUUUUCGAGUUGCCCGAUUAAUUCCAUCUAGUUUCUCUAACAAAAGGGCAUUGUGAACAUCAUCACAAAUCUUAUGCAGAUUUUCCACGGUAUCUCUUAUGUGUGGUAUGUCAGAUCUAUUGAUUCUUGGCUUUGAUUGUCCAACUUCAGUAAAAGAUUUCACUUUGGAUACCAACGGGUUGCUGCUCUUGAAGUUCUUCCUUUUUAUCUGUUCAUCAUAAAUGGGAAAUGCUAGAAUUAGAACCGUCUCUCUAUCAGUACUCACUGAUGCAAAUGAGAUCAGUAUCUCAGUAUCACAUGAUGGGACAGGACCAAAACAAACAAAAUAGAAAAUUAGAUUUCACGGAGCACAACAACAUCAAUAUAGAGAAAAUUCAGCUGUAGUCAGCACCAAGCAGAGCGCAGGGAUCACCUUAAUAGAGACUAAGCUGAAGUUUAAAUUUUGUUAUUUGAACUGAAAAAUAUAGGUCAAUUUAUUUUAGAUAAUGGAAGGAAGAUACCACACAGCAACAUACACACAUCAAGCACCGCCUUUGCCAAUGGCCUCAGGACAGCUCAGUUAAGAUCGAGCAGAAUAUCAUCGGCUAUCCUAUUAAAAAUCGAAUUGUAUUAGGGCAUAGAGAGACGAUGCUAAGGAUCCUAUAAUAAUCAAACUCUCAUAAGGAUUCAUACAACCUUUAAAGGAAUCACGAGGAAACCAUGAAGCAUAACCAUACUAAUCCGAAGAGCCAAGAUCUCAUACAAAUCAAGGUAAAAGCAAUAAGGGGUGCAGAAGAGGGCUAGAGGCUGGAUUAUUCCUCAACACUAGAUUUUGUGUAGGCAAGGAUCAUGGUUUGAGAGGGUUGGGAGAAAACAGCAAUCACUCUUUGAGGUGGUGCUUAGAGAAUUAGUUUUUCCAAAUCUUUCCUUUGUUGUUGCGAUUCAUUCGACACCUUUAUUUGGCAUGCCCCUUUAUUUUGGUUAUCUCUACUACAUUAUCCUGAUUUGUUCUUGAUGGCAUGCACACUAAUUUCACUUUUCAAAAUACGAGUGGCGUUGUGUAUAUCAGUAUAUGAAGGGGCAUUAGAGUAUAGUAA